RNAcentral lists this transfer RNA (73 nucleotides) under Camelus bactrianus (Bactrian camel). It matches the Rfam family "tRNA". Rfam says of the family: Transfer RNA (tRNA) molecules are approximately 80 nucleotides in length. Their secondary structure includes four short double-helical elements and three loops (D, anti-codon, and T loops). RNAcentral also lists the same sequence under 2 other names. Lineage: Eukaryota; Metazoa; Chordata; Mammalia; Artiodactyla; Camelidae. The record is from Rfam by way of RNAcentral.
AAGGGUAUAGCUCAGUGGUAUGAGUGCAUGCUUGGCAUGCAUGAGGCUCUAGAUUCAAUCCCCAGUACCUCCU